CUACGGGAGGCAGCAGUGGGGAAUUUUGCGCAAUGGGCGAAAGCCUGACGCAGCGACGCCGCGUGUGGGAUGACGGCCUUCGGGUUGUAAACCACUGUCGGGAGGGACGAAGCUCUGACGGUACCUCCAAAGGAAGCACCGGCUAACUCCGUGCCAGCAGCCGCGGUAAUACAGAGGGUGCGAGCGUUGUCCGGAAUCACUGGGCGUAAAGGGCGCGUAGGCGGCUUGGUAAGUAGGGGGUGAAAUUCCGUGGCUCAACCACGGAACUGCCUCCUAAACUGCUAGGCUCGAGCACGGUAGAGGCUGGUGGAAUUCCCGGUGUAGCGGUGGAAUGCGUAGAGAUCGGGAGGAACAUCGGUGGCGAAGGCGGCCAGCUGGGCCGUUGCUGACGCUGAUGCGCGAAAGCGUGGGGAGCAAACAGGAUUAGAAACCCUUGUAGUCC
RNAcentral lists this ribosomal RNA (442 nucleotides) under uncultured bacterium. Its description in RNAcentral is "bacterial SSU rRNA". It matches the Rfam family "Bacterial small subunit ribosomal RNA", at positions 339 to 796 of the family's 1533-position model. The record is from RNAcentral.